AGCGUCUGUAGUGCAAUUGGUUGAAGCAUGUCCCUCGGAAAGGGUGAGAUGCGGGUUUGAGUCCCCGCUGACGUCA
This is a non-coding RNA of Parelaphostrongylus tenuis, 76 nucleotides long. NCBI's taxonomy places the organism in Eukaryota, Metazoa, Nematoda, Chromadorea, Rhabditida, Metastrongylidae. The record is from the annotation of a GenBank genome assembly.